RNAcentral lists this ribosomal RNA (496 nucleotides) under uncultured bacterium. RNAcentral's name for it is "partial 16S ribosomal RNA". It matches the Rfam family "Bacterial small subunit ribosomal RNA", at positions 29 to 507 of the family's 1533-position model. The record is from RNAcentral.
ACGAACGCUGGCGGCGUGCCUAAUACAUGCAAGUUGAGCGCUGAAGGUUGGUACUUGUACCGACUGGAUGAGCAGCGAACGGGUGAGUAACGCGUGGGGAAUCUGCCUUUGAGCGGGGGACAACAUUUGGAAACGAAUGCUAAUACCGCGUAAAAACUUUAAACACAAGUUUUAAGUUUGAAAGAUGCAAUUGCAUCACUCAAAGAUGAUCCCGCGUUGUAUUAGCUAGUUGGUGAGGUAAAGGCUCACCAAGGCGAUGAUACAUAGCCGACCUGAGAGGGUGAUCGGCCACAUUGGGACUGAGACACGGCCCAAACUCCUACGGGAGGCAGCAGUAGGGAAUCUUCGGCAAUGGACGAAAGUCUGACCGAGCAACGCCGCGUGAGUGAAGAAGGUUUUCGGAUCGUAAAACUCUGUUGGUAGAGAAGAACGUUGGUGAGAGUGGAAAGCUCAUCAAGUGACGGUAACUACCCAGAAAGGGACGGCUAACUACGUG